CUGGGCUUCAGACUUCAUCCAAUCGGGGAUGAUGCUCAUUCGCUAUUAUAGUCUAAAAACAUUGCAUCAAGCAAAUGAGGUGCUGAACUCAUGGUUGAUCCCACGUGCUUUUAUCUCGCCCAUAUUACUCUAUUAGGCCGGUAAUAGGAACCAGAGCUAGUAAAGACUCAAGUGCGGAGAGCAGCAUCUAGGAAUCUCUCCACUUGGGUGUAAAUUACAGAGCUGCCUGGGGUGUUCUCUACCCUCUCUCACUGGCACCUUUCCCUGUUUCAUCUACACACACACACACACACACACACACACACACACACACAUGCACACGUACGAGACAAUGACUAUUACCCGACACACCUGGGUUCUGGGCCCCACAAUCUUCUUAAUAUCUUUUAAAUCUUCACAUAAGGUAUGCCUUCCAUAGGGCUUACAGUACCAUUUGCUCUAAUAAACUCUUUUGGCAGAGGUGCAUGCAAGCUGCUUCCGUGGCCCCCGGAGAGAGGAACGUAAGGCGGAGGGUGAGGCAUCCCAAAAUAUGAGGAUAAAUCGCAGGUUGCCUGAAGAUGCGGUGAGGGAAAUGCUGGCCGAUGUGUGCAAACGGUCCAGAGCAGGAACAUCACACACACUCCAGCCCCAGGUGACAUCUGCUGGAAUAUUUACAGAGAGAGGCGACGUUCAGAAUGAAAUACUACUUCCUGCACAGUAA
Long non-coding RNA from Cyprinus carpio (common carp), 700 nucleotides. The record is from Ensembl. NCBI's taxonomy places the organism in Eukaryota, Metazoa, Chordata, Actinopteri, Cypriniformes, Cyprinidae.